CAUUUAUUUAUUAAUUUUUUAUUUCUAUAUUUAUUUACGAGUAUUAACCGGUUUAAUAAUUUUGUUUUUAUUUUAUUAUUUUAUUAAAAACAAAUAAAUAAAAAUAUAUCAAAGCCAUAAGGACAACACAUGUAUAAUAUUUAUUUCUUUUUUAUAUUUUUAAUGUAUAUGACAAUAUGAAUAAGUAACACGAUUUAUAAAUAUCAACAUUAUUAUAUGAAAUAUGAAUUAUAGAUACUACAUAGGUAUAAACUAAGAGGGGUCAAAUACAGUUAAACGAACAAUGCCCCCUUAGAUGUGUCCACAGCUUUGAAAUAAUAUAGAGUGUAUUGAGCAUUGCCAUGUCAAUGAACAAUAAGAAAUACAUCAAAUGGGCAGAAAAGUUUUUCAUUCUCGUAACUCUGUAAUCAGUUGAUUGAUUGAACAGCAGUACUUUAUGAUGAACCCAUAGAGCAUCGUUUCUCAACCUUUUUAGUGUCGCGACCCCCAAAAUAGGUAUAAAAUAUUGUCAAUCACUUCGCGACCCCCCCCCCCAUUUCUUCUAGGUUAGGUAAAAAUUUAAACAGUAAAAAUAUCCUAUCAUUAACCCUAACGAAAUAUAACAUUUUAAAUACCAAUUUAUAAAUACCAUAUCUAGUAACUUAAGCUUAUCAAGUUUGUAUCGGGUCGUUAGGAAUUUCCAUUAGUGGAGUAGUGUCCGUUUUAUUGAUGAGAUAUCUACAUUUAAUCGACUGCUUAUUAUUGUUAUUUUUAAUAUUAUUUUUGUGUGUUAUGAAACGAUUAAUUUAUCGAUGACAGUCGCGCGUCGCCCGUGUUGUUAAACUCAUGUGAUAUUGCGUUUAUUAAGUUGGUUUUUAGUGCGUCUUUUUAGUUUUGUGUAAUUUGAAUUAAUGAUUAUGGAUAAAUAUAUAACAAACGUAAUGCUCCGUCUACUUCUGGUGAACCGGCGAAAAAAAAAUUCAGGUCAUAUAACAAUGAGUAUUUGAAGUAUGGGUUUAUUUAACUUGAUAAUAAGCCGCAAUGUGUUGUUUGCUUUCAAGUUCUAUCUCAAGAAAGUAUGAAACCUUCAAAAUUAAUUCGACAUCUGGAAACAAAUCAUCCACUUUUAGUAAAAAAACCAAUUGAUUUUUUUGAGCGUAAAUCACUUUUUUUUAAAAAAUCAACAAACUUGUAUUCUUAAAUCAAGUCAGAAUAAUACCGCAACACUUGAAGCAUCAUAUUUAGUAGCACUUAGGGUAGNGCAAAAGAAGUAAUUAAAAUAUUAAUUAAAUUAAUUAAAAUUAGAAUUUAAAAUAUUUUUUAAAGAUCGAAAUACAACAUUUUUAACUUUUUUCCAAGAUAAUGAGACAUUACUAUUUUUGGCUUAUUUGAG
This is a non-coding RNA of Cinara cedri, 1372 nucleotides long. NCBI's taxonomy places the organism in Eukaryota, Metazoa, Arthropoda, Insecta, Hemiptera, Aphididae. The record is from the annotation of a GenBank genome assembly.